This 917-nucleotide ribosomal RNA is filed under the name bacterium WP2ISO3. RNAcentral describes it as "bacterial SSU rRNA". It matches the Rfam family "Bacterial small subunit ribosomal RNA", at positions 56 to 952 of the family's 1533-position model. The record is from RNAcentral.
UGCAAGUCGAGCGGAAACGACUUAACUGAACCUUCGGGGAACGUUAAGGGCGUCGAGCGGCGGACGGGUGAGUAAUGCCUAGGAAGUUGCCCAGUAGAGGGGGAUAACCAUUGGAAACGAUGGCUAAUACCGCAUAACCUCUUCGGAGCAAAGCAGGGGACCUUCGGGCCUUGCGCUAUUGGAUACGCCUAGGUGGGAUUAGCUAGUUGGUGAGGUAAGGGCUCACCAAGGCGACGAUCCCUAGCUGGUCUGAGAGGAUGAUCAGCCACACUGGAACUGAGACACGGUCCAGACUCCUACGGGAGGCAGCAGUGGGGAAUAUUGCACAAUGGGCGAAAGCCUGAUGCAGCCAUGCCGCGUGUGUGAAGAAGGCCUUCGGGUUGUAAAGCACUUUCAGCAGUGAGGAAGAUGGUAAGCUUAAUACGCUUAUCAUUUGACGUUAGCUGCAGAAGAAGCACCGGCUAACUCCGUGCCAGCAGCCGCGGUAAUACGGAGGGUGCGAGCGUUAAUCGGAAUUACUGGGCGUAAAGCGCAUGCAGGUGGUGAGUUAAGUCAGAUGUGAAAGCCCGGGGCUCAACCUCGGAAUUGCAUUUGAAACUGGCUCACUAGAGUACUGUAGAGGGGGGUAGAAUUUCAGGUGUAGCGGUGAAAUGCGUAGAGAUCUGAAGGAAUACCAGUGGCGAAGGCGGCCCCCUGGACAGAUACUGACACUCAGAUGCGAAAGCGUGGGGAGCAAACAGGAUUAGAUACCCUGGUAGUCCACGCCGUAAACGAUGUCUACUUGGAGGUUGUGGCCUUGAGCCGUGGCUUUCGGAGCUAACGCGUUAAGUAGACCGCCUGGGGAGUACGGUCGCAAGAUUAAAACUCAAAUGAAUUGACGGGGGCCCGCACAAGCGGUGGAGCAUGUGGUUUAAUUC